This 2361-nucleotide ribosomal RNA is filed under the name Cepaea nemoralis (banded wood snail). RNAcentral describes it as "bacterial LSU rRNA". It matches the Rfam family "Bacterial large subunit ribosomal RNA", at positions 496 to 2819 of the family's 2925-position model. Lineage: Eukaryota; Metazoa; Mollusca; Gastropoda; Stylommatophora; Helicidae. The record is from RNAcentral.
AAGUACCGUGAGGGAAAGGUGAAAAGUACCCCGGGAGGGGAGUGAAAUAGUACCUGAAACCGUGUGCCUACAAGCCGUGAGAGCCUUAUGCGCAUUCGUGCGUGGGGGUGAUUGCGUGCCUUUUGAAGAAUGAGCCUGCGAGUUAGCGGUACGUGGCGAGGUUAACCCGUGUGGGGAAGCCGUAGCGAAAGCGAGUCUGAAUAGGGCGAUUGAGUCGCGUGUCCUAGACCCGAAGCGGAGUGAUCUACCCAUGGCCAGGUUGAAGCGCGUGUAAGAGCGCGUGGAGGACCGAACCCACUUCAGUUGAAAAUGGAGGGGAUGAGCUGUGGGUAGGGGUGAAAGGCCAAUCAAACUCGGUGAUAGCUGGUUCUCCCCGAAAUGCAUUUAGGUGCAGCGUCACGCGUUUCUUGCCGGAGGUAGAGCACUGGAUGGCCUAGGGGGCCCACAAGCUUACCGAAGUCAACCAAACUCCGAAUGCCGGUAAGUGAGAGCGUGGCAGUGAGACUGCGGGGGAUAAGCUUCGUAGUCGAGAGGGAAACAACCCAGAUCGCCAGCUAAGGCCCCUAAGCGUGUGCUAAGUGGGAAAGGAUGUGGAGUUGCUGAGACAACCAGGAGGUUGGCUUAGAAGCAGCCACCCUUUAAAGAAAGCGUAAUAGCUCACUGAUCGAGUCGUCCUGCGCGGAAGAUGUAACGGGGCUAAGCCAGUCACCGAAGCUGCGGAUAUGACGUAAUUCAUUACGCCAUAUGGUAGGAGAGCGUUCUGUAAGCCUGCGAAGGUGUCUUGUAAAGGAUGCUGGAGGUAUCAGAAGUGCGAAUGCUGACAUGAGUAACGAUAAUGCGGGUGAAAAACCCGCACGCCGGAAGACCAAGGGUUCCUAUCCCAUGUUAAUCAGGGUAGGGUAAGUCGACCCCUAAGGCGAGGCCGAAAGGCGUAGUCGAUGGGAAACAGGUUAAUAUUCCUGUACUCGGUGUUACUGCGAAGGGGGGACGGAGAAGGCUAUGUUAGCCGGGCGACGGUUGUCCCGGUUUAAGCAUGUAGGCGGAUGUUCCAGGUAAAUCCGGAACGUUAUCAACGCUGAGGUGUGAUGACGAGGCACUACGGUGCUGAAGUAACAAAUGCCCUGCUUCCAGGAAAAGCCUCUAAGCAUCAGGUAACAUCAAAUCGUACCCCAAACCGACACAGGUGGUCAGGUAGAGAAUACUAAGGCGAUCGAGAGAAUCAUGGUUAAGGAACUCGGCAAAAUGCCCCCGUAACUUCGGGAGAAGGGGGGCCAGAGGGCGUGAUGGGACUUGCUCCCGGAGCGUUUGCUGGCCGCAGAGACCAGAGAGAAGCGACUGUUUACUAAAAACACAGGUCCGUGCGAAGUCGCAAGACGAUGUAUACGGACUGACGCCUGCCCGGUGCUGGAAGGUUAAGAGGACCGGUUAGUCAACGUUGUUGGCGAAGCUGAGAAUUUAAGCCCCAGUAAACGGCGGUGGUAACUAUAACCAUCCUAAGGUAGCGAAAUUCCUUGUCGGGUAAGUUCCGACCUGCACGAAUGGCGUAACGACUUCUCUACUGUCUCAACCACGGACUCGGCGAAAUUGCACUACGAGUAAAGAUGCUCGUUACGCGCGGCAGGACGGAAAGACCCCGGGACCUUCACUACAGCUUGAUAUUGGUGCUCGGUUCGGCUUGUGUAGGAUAGGUGGGAGACUGUGAAGCGGGCACGCCAGUGUUCGUGGAGUCGCCGUUGAAAUACCACUCUGGUCACUCUGGAUAUCUAACUUCGGCCCGUGAUCCGGGUCAGGGACAGUGCCUGAUGGGUAGUUUAACUGGGGCGGUUGCCUCCCAAAAUGUAACGGAGGCGCCCAAAGGUUCCCUCAGCCUGGUUGGCAAUCAGGUGUCGAGUGCAAGUGCACAAGGGAGCUUGACUGUGAGAGUGGCAGCUCGAGCAGGGACGAAAGUCGGGACUAGUGAUCCGGCGGCUCGUUGUGGAACGGCCGUCGCUCAACGGAUAAAAGGUACCUCGGGGAUAACAGGCUGAUCUUGCCCAAGAGUCCAUAUCGACGGCAUGGUUUGGCACCUCGAUGUCGGCUCGUCGCAUCCUGGGGCUGGAGUAGGUCCCAAGGGUUGGGCUGUUCGCCCAUUAAAGCGGUACGCGAGCUGGGUUUAGAACGUCGUGAGACAGUUCGGUCCCUAUCUGCCGUGGGUGUAGGAUACUUGAGAGGAGUUGCCCCUAGUACGAGAGGACCGGGGUGAACGUUCCACUGGUGGACCAGUUGUCGUGCCAACGGCAGUGCUGGGUAGCUAUGAACGGACAGGAUAAACGCUGAAGGCAUCUAAGCGUGAAGCCCCCCUCAAAACAAGGUAUCCCUUGA